This 376-nucleotide ribosomal RNA is filed under the name uncultured bacterium. Its description in RNAcentral is "bacterial SSU rRNA". It matches the Rfam family "Bacterial small subunit ribosomal RNA", at positions 29 to 419 of the family's 1533-position model. The record is from RNAcentral.
AGCGAACGCUAGCGGCGGGCCUAACACAUGCAAGUCGAGCGGAGGGAGCAAUCCUUCAGCGGCGGACGGGUGAGUAACGCGUAGGUAAUGUACCUUCUGGUGGGGAAUAACCGUGGGAAACCAUGGCUAAUACCGCAUAUCGUCCUUACGGAUGAAAGCCUUCGGGCGCCAGAAGAGCAGCCUGCGUCUCAUUAUUUAGUCCUAGUUGGUGAGGUAACGGCUCACCAAGGGUACGAUGGGUAGCUGGUCUGAGAGGAUGAUCAGCCACACUGGAACUGAGACACGGUCCAGACUCCUACGGGAGGCAGCAGUGGGGAAUAUUGCGCAAUGGGCGAAAGCCUGACGCAGCCACGCCGCGUGAGUGAUGAAGGCCUUC